This 1138-nucleotide ribosomal RNA is filed under the name Enterobacter cloacae. RNAcentral describes it as "bacterial SSU rRNA". It matches the Rfam family "Bacterial small subunit ribosomal RNA", at positions 25 to 1156 of the family's 1533-position model. Lineage: Bacteria; Pseudomonadati; Pseudomonadota; Gammaproteobacteria; Enterobacterales; Enterobacteriaceae. The record is from RNAcentral.
CAGAUGAACGCUGGCGGCAGGCCUAACACAUGCAAGUCGAACGGUAGCACAGAGAGCUUGCUCUCGGGUGACGAGUGGCGGACGGGUGAGUAAUGUCUGGGAAACUGCCUGAUGGAGGGGGAUAACUACUGGAAACGGUAGCUAAUACCGCAUAACGUCGCAAGACCAAAGAGGGGGACCUUCGGGCCUCUUGCCAUCAGAUGUGCCCAGAUGGGAUUAGCUAGUAGGUGGGGUAACGGCUCACCUAGGCGACGAUCCCUAGCUGGUCUGAGAGGAUGACCAGCCACACUGGAACUGAGACACGGUCCAGACUCCUACGGGAGGCAGCAGUGGGGAAUAUUGCACAAUGGGCGCAAGCCUGAUGCAGCCAUGCCGCGUGUAUGAAGAAGGCCUUCGGGUUGUAAAGUACUUUCAGCGGGGAGGAAGGUGUUGUGGUUAAUAACCGCAGCAAUUGACGUUACCCGCAGAAGAAGCACCGGCUAACUCCGUGCCAGCAGCCGCGGUAAUACGGAGGGUGCAAGCGUUAAUCGGAAUUACUGGGCGUAAAGCGCACGCAGGCGGUCUGUCAAGUCGGAUGUGAAAUCCCCGGGCUCAACCUGGGAACUGCAUUCGAAACUGGCAGGCUAGAGUCUUGUAGAGGGGGGUAGAAUUCCAGGUGUAGCGGUGAAAUGCGUAGAGAUCUGGAGGAAUACCGGUGGCGAAGGCGGCCCCCUGGACAAAGACUGACGCUCAGGUGCGAAAGCGUGGGGAGCAAACAGGAUUAGAUACCCUGGUAGUCCACGCCGUAAACGAUGUCGACUUGGAGGUUGUGCCCUUGAGGCGUGGCUUCCGGAGCUAACGCGUUAAGUCGACCGCCUGGGGAGUACGGCCGCAAGGUUAAAACUCAAAUGAAUUGACGGGGGCCCGCACAAGCGGUGGAGCAUGUGGUUUAAUUCGAUGCAACGCGAAGAACCUUACCUACUCUUGACAUCCAGAGAACUUUCCAGAGAUGGAUUGGUGCCUUCGGGAACUCUGAGACAGGUGCUGCAUGGCUGUCGUCAGCUCGUGUUGUGAAAUGUUGGGUUAAGUCCCGCAACGAGCGCAACCCUUAUCCUUUGUUGCCAGCGGUUAGGCCGGGAACUCAAAGGAGACUGCCAGU